CAAUAUUACUUGAUGACGCAUAGUUCAUAUGAUUAAAAUCAUGAUAACUUAACUUUGUGGAAUUCUUUCGCCCCUAUCUGAACAUAAAACUC
RNAcentral lists this small nucleolar RNA (92 nucleotides) under Anopheles maculatus. RNAcentral's name for it is "small nucleolar RNA snR60/Z15/Z230/Z193/J17". It matches the Rfam family "Small nucleolar RNA snR60/Z15/Z230/Z193/J17". Rfam says of the family: The members of this family belong to the C/D class of snoRNAs which contain the C (UGAUGA) and D (CUGA) box motifs. Lineage: Eukaryota; Metazoa; Arthropoda; Insecta; Diptera; Culicidae. The record is from RNAcentral.